UAAAGGGGUUAGAAAGUUUUUUUGCCUACUACAGCGGCCCUACCCGGGGCUGCUAGUCUCCCUGCGAGGCGACACGCUCAAUGUGCGGAGAGCCCCUAGCAUUAGGGCAAUCCGCAGUGGCCUGCGCGGCCAUUCAGAGACUCAAUGAGCGUGGGUUCAGCGCGGCUGAGCUUGAGAUAGAGCCCGUCCCUGCCGGCAAUGGCGGGGAGUCAACGGAACCUGCGGAAGGAUCAUUACAGAGAAAAGGAUGCCCUCGGGCUUUUCUCCCACCCUUUGUUUACCACACUCAGUUGCCUUGGCGCACCGCGCCAGUGGAUCGAAACCCUUGAAUCGUUGCCGUCUGAGUACUAUUCAAUAGUUAAAACUUUCAACAACGGAUCUCUUGGUUCUGGCAUCGAUGAAGAACGCAGCGAAAUGCGAUAAGUAAUGUGAAUUGCAGAAUUCAGUGAAUCAUCGAAUCUUUGAACGCACAUUGCGCCCCCUGGUAUUCCGGGGGGCAUGCCUGUUCGAGCGUCAUUACAACCCUCAAGCUCCGCUUGGUGUUGAGCCCGCCCCGCUUACCCGGGGCUCGCUUCAAAGUCAGUGGCGGCCGCCGUCCGACCUUCAGCGCAGUAAUGCUCGUCGCUGCUAGGGAGGGCCAGCGCCGUCAUACAACCCCCACACACAAGGUUGACCUCGGAUCAGGUAGGGAUACCCGCUGAACUUAAGCAUAUCAAAAA
This 719-nucleotide ribosomal RNA is filed under the name Lophodermium conigenum. RNAcentral's name for it is "eukaryotic LSU rRNA". The stretch from base 363 to 516 matches the Rfam family "5.8S ribosomal RNA". Lineage: Eukaryota; Fungi; Ascomycota; Leotiomycetes; Rhytismatales; Rhytismataceae. The record is from RNAcentral.